GUGGGGAAUUUUGGACAAUGGGCGCAAGCCUGAUCCAGCAAUGCCGCGUGCAGGAAGAAGGCCUUCGGGUUGUAAACUGCUUUUGUACGGAACGAAACGGUCCUGGCUAAUAUCCGGGGCUAAUGACGGUACCGUAAGAAUAAGCACCGGCUAACUACGUGCCAGCAGCCGCGGUAAUACGUAGGGUGCGAGCGUUAAUCGGAAUUACUGGGGGUAAAGCGUGCGCAGGCGGUGCUGUAAGACAGGCGUGAAAUCCCCGGGCUCAACCUGGGAAUUGCGCUUGUGACUGCAGUGCUGGAGUGCGGCAGAGGGGGAUGGAAUUCCGCGUGUAGCAGUGAAAUGCGUAGAUAUGCGGAGGAACACCGAUGGCGAAGGCAAUCCCCUGGGCCUGCACUGACGCUCAUGCACGAAAGCGUGGGGAGCAAACAGGAUUAGAUACCCCUGUAGUCC
RNAcentral lists this ribosomal RNA (450 nucleotides) under uncultured bacterium. RNAcentral's name for it is "partial 16S ribosomal RNA". It matches the Rfam family "Bacterial small subunit ribosomal RNA", at positions 354 to 796 of the family's 1533-position model. The record is from RNAcentral.